RNAcentral lists this ribosomal RNA (464 nucleotides) under uncultured bacterium. Its description in RNAcentral is "partial 16S ribosomal RNA". It matches the Rfam family "Bacterial small subunit ribosomal RNA", at positions 30 to 507 of the family's 1533-position model. The record is from RNAcentral.
UGAACGCUGGCGGCGUGCUUAACACAUGCACGUCGAACGAUGAAGCCCAGCUUGCUGGGUGGAUUAGUGGCGAACGGGUGAGUAACACGUGAGUAACCUGCCCUUAACUCUGGGAUAAGCCUGGGAAACUGGGUCUAAUACCGGAUAGGAGCGCCUACCGCAUGGUGGGUGUUGGAAAGAUUUAUCGGUUUUGGAUGGACUCGCGGCCUAUCAGCUUGUUGGUGAGGUAAUGGCUCACCAAGGCGACGACGGGUAGCCGGCCUGAGAGGGUGACCGGCCACACUGGGACUGAGACACGGCCCAGACUCCUACGGGAGGCAGCAGUGGGGAAUAUUGCACAAUGGGCGAAAGCCUGAUGCAGCGACGCCGCGUGAGGGAUGACGGCCUUCGGGUUGUAAACCUCUUUCAGUAGGGAAGAAGCGAAAGUGACGGUACCUGCAGAAGAAGCACCGGCUAACUACGUG